Molecule: unclassified non-coding RNA, 891 nt
Filed under: Hevea brasiliensis (rubber tree)
Lineage: Eukaryota; Viridiplantae; Streptophyta; Magnoliopsida; Malpighiales; Euphorbiaceae
Source: RNAcentral
GGUAAGCCAAAAAUUAUUUCACAAGUACACUAUCCUUUACUUGUGCUCCAAAACCCUAGCCCUAAAACCCUCUGCCAAAGUGAGACACUUUGCUCGAGCGAUAUGUCGGGAAGAGGAGAAGAUAGUGAUUCCGAUGCGCCGGAAGAACUAACUUCCGUACAGGGAAUUCAAAACAAUGAGGAGAUUAGAAAAGUUGAAAAAGAACACAAGGCUAGAGUUGUUCGGGAAAGGAAGGAACGUCGUAGACAAUGGGCUCAAAAGUUAACUCCACGACCUAAACAAAAUGAUGAAAGCAUUGAAGACACAAAAGAACCUGAAGAUGCCCAAGAGUCAAAGGACAAUAGAGGGAUGCUGCCUGAUGAGAUUGUAAAAAUUCUUGCAGCUCGUGAAAAGAAAGUUUUCUCGUCAGACUCGGAAGAAGAACAUGAGAAGCAGCCUACAUCUAAAAACAAAAGAUCCAAGAGCUCUGGGUCUGGACCAGUUAUUUUGAAGGAUCUACCACCUCCUCCGUGCUUAGAGAGCUCACUGGCAUUCUUGAAGAAACGUAAGAUGCAGGUGUCAAGAUCAUCAGCUGUUCUGAACAAUUCCAGUCAAGCAUUACGCCUUCUAUCUACAUCUGGCUUGCUACGUACGAAAUGAUAGGUGAUGAUUUUGAAGAUUUUAGCCCGAGUGAUGUCAAUGCUGUAUUGCUUGCUGUAAUGAGAAUAUGCUGGUAGAGGUGUUAAAUGGCGAGCUGGUUUUGGACACUGAUGGGUAAACCAAAAAAACAAAACAAAACAUUGUAACAACUUUUUGAUGGUAUAUUGCAAUUUUAUUGAUACUUGUGGGUAGGAACUGCUGAACUGUUUACACUGCAACAGUCUCAUCUCAGUCAAGUGUUGAAUCAUUAAG